This 454-nucleotide ribosomal RNA is filed under the name uncultured bacterium. Its description in RNAcentral is "partial 16S ribosomal RNA". It matches the Rfam family "Bacterial small subunit ribosomal RNA", at positions 341 to 792 of the family's 1533-position model. The record is from RNAcentral. RNAcentral also lists the same sequence under 1 other name.
ACGGGAGGCAGCAGUGAGGAAUAUUGGUCAAUGGGCGGAAGCCUGAACCAGCCAUGCCGCGUGAAGGAAGACGGCCCUAUGGGUUGUAAACUUCUUUUGUAGUGGAGCAAUAAGGUCUACGUGUAGAUCGAUGAGAGUACAUUACGAAUAAGCAUCGGCUAACUCCGUGCCAGCAGCCGCGGUAAUACGGAGGAUGCAAGCGUUAUCCGGAUUUAUUGGGUUUAAAGGGUGCGUAGGCUGUCUGGUAAGUCAGGGGUGAAAGCCCAGUGCUCAACACUGGAACUGCCUUUGAUACUGUCAGGCUGGAAUACUGUUGCCGUGGGAGGAAUGAGUAGUGUAGCGGUGAAAUGCAUAGAUAUUACUCAGAACACCGAUUGCGAAGGCAUCUCACGAAACAGCGAUUGACGCUGAGGCACGAAAGCGUGGGGAUCAAACAGGAUUAGAUACCCUGGUA